Molecule: ribosomal RNA, 433 nt
Filed under: uncultured bacterium
Lineage: Bacteria
Description: partial 16S ribosomal RNA
Rfam family: Bacterial small subunit ribosomal RNA
Source: RNAcentral
AACGAACGCUGGCGGCAUGCCUAACACAUGCAAGUCGAACGAGACCUUCGGGUCUAGUGGCGCACGGGUGCGUAACGCGUGGGAACCUGCCCUUAGGUUCGGAAUAACUCCCCGAAGGGGGUGCUAAUACCGGAUAAUGUCUUCGGACCAAAGAUUUAUCGCCUUUGGAUGGGCCCGCGUUGGAUUAGCUAGUUGGUAGGGUAAAAGCCUACCAAGGCGACGAUCCAUAGCUGGUCUGAGAGGAUGAUCAGCCACACUGGGACUGAGACACGGCCCAGACUCCUACGGGAGGCAGCAGUGGGGAAUAUUGGACAAUGGGCGAAAGCCUGAUCCAGCAAUGCCGCGUGAGUGAUGAAGGACUUAGGGUUGUAAAGCUCUUUUACCCGGGAUGAUAAUGACAGUACCGGGAGAAUAAGCGCCGGCUAACUCCGUG